CACGGGGGGAGCAAGCGUUGUUCGGAAUCACUGGGCGUAAAGGGCGUGUAGGCGGUCAGGUAAGUGGGAUGUGAAAUGCCCCGGCUCACCCGGGGACCGGCAUCCCAUACUGCUUGGCUUGAGUACGGGAGAGGAUGUGGGAAUUCCUGGUGUAGCGGUGAAAUGCGUAGAUAUCAGGAGGAACACCGGUGGCGAAGGCGGCUCACUGGACCACAACUGACGCUGAGGCGCGAAAGCUAGGGGAGCAAACAGG
Molecule: ribosomal RNA, 253 nt
Filed under: uncultured bacterium
Lineage: Bacteria
Description: partial 16S ribosomal RNA
Rfam family: Bacterial small subunit ribosomal RNA
Source: RNAcentral